Molecule: ribosomal RNA, 488 nt
Filed under: uncultured bacterium
Lineage: Bacteria
Description: partial 16S ribosomal RNA
Rfam family: Bacterial small subunit ribosomal RNA
Source: RNAcentral
GACGAACGCUGGCGGCGUGCUUAACACAUGCAAGUCGAACGGAAAGGCCCUGCUUUUGUGGGGUGCUCGAGUGGCGAACGGGUGAGUAACACGUGAGUAACCUGCCCUUGACUUUGGGAUAACUUCAGGAAACUGGGGCUAAUACCGGAUAGGAGCUCCUGCUGCAUGGUGGGGGUUGGAAAGUUUCGGCGGUUGGGGAUGGACUCGCGGCUUAUCAGCUUGUUGGUGGGGUAGCGGCUUACCAAGGCUUUGACGGGUAGCCGGCCUGAGAGGGUGAUCGGCCACCCUGGAGCUGGGCCACUGUCCUGCGUCCUGCGGGAGGCACCAGUCGCCAAUCUUCCGCAGUGGGCGAGAGCCUGACCCACCCACCCCGCGUCAGUGACGGCGUUCUUCGGAUCGUAAUGCCCUCUUAUUGGUUAAGAACCGCUUUCUCAUUUUCUCUGCCCGUCUUGACGGUACCUAAUCAACAAGCCCCGGCUAACUACGUG